Non-coding RNA from Schizosaccharomyces pombe (fission yeast), 2095 nucleotides. The record is from the annotation of a GenBank genome assembly. NCBI's taxonomy places the organism in Eukaryota, Fungi, Ascomycota, Schizosaccharomycetes, Schizosaccharomycetales, Schizosaccharomycetaceae.
UGUUUGAUUAAAAACCUAGAAAAGUAAGAGUUAGAAGUAUUGAUAGUCGUGACUUACAGAUAUUUUUUUUGCAGCUUUCAAGUACGAGUCCCAUCCUUGAGGUUCUAAAAUAAGAACACCAUUCGUUUCCAAUAAAGAACUAAUCUUCCCAAAGAAUUUAAUGAUUCCUUCAUCGUGGUUAUUUAGAUGCACCCAUUUAGAUACGGAUAAUGCUAGUAUUAUUUUGAAUUUUCGUUUCGAUUCCCAGCGCAAGAAGUCAGCGGUCUCAAAUUCUAUAUUGUGAGGGAAAUUUUGCUUAUUGAGAGGUGGUUGAAGUUGCACUGGUAUCCUGGAAAACUUUUUAAUGCUUGAAAUGGGGUAAUAAUUAAACUGGUCUUCUACAAUGGAACCAGGAUUGCGUACAGGGCCAAUUCGAGAGCUCACAAACUCAAGAUGUUUUCGAGCUUUUUGGAUGAGAACAUGAUCGAUAUCCAAUCCCAAAACAAAUGAUGCACCAAAUAUUGAGGCAAUUUGAGCAGACACUGUCCCAUUAUUGCAUCCUAUAUCUAAAACUGAAGCCUCAUAAAAAAGGGAAUCAGGCAAACAUUUAAGUCUUGGAUCGAUAAUUGAGGUUCCUCCCCUCAUGCUGUAAUAACUGUGAUAAUUUCCAUGUUGAAAAUUCGACAUCCCAAGUCGAGGAGGUUUUUCAAAUCACCCCUAUUUUUUAUAAAAGUAUAAAUUUUGCAAUGGAAUUUAAACGAAAACUUACGAAUCGAACUAUUUAAACAAAAGCGAGAAGUUUCAAUUUGUUGUUGUUACUAAUACAUUAACGAUGUUUACAUAUCUUGAAACUCAACGUCCGACUCGUAAAAACUAGUCUUAAAGCAUCCAACAAUUUAGAAAGGAUCGCUAGCGGUAAAAAAAAUAAUAUCAAAAAUAUAUAUAUAUAUAUAUUAUCCUUUUAGCAAUUCUUCGAAAGUUAUUUUACUUUUGUAUGUACCUCGAUUUCAACGUCUUUUUGCAAACUUAUCUUCGAAGGUGUUUUUCCCUUUAUGACUAAAAAUUUAUUGCUUACGUAGACAGGUUAAGAUAGUUUAAAAAAUGUUUAGUAUAUGCAAAAUAUAUUUCAUUCUAAUUACAAGAACGAUUAGGUGGGCUUUUUCUUUGAACAAGAUUCCUUCAUGUAAAAUAGCAAGAUGAGAAUAGUUUUACACUUUAUAAGUCAAUUCAAUCUAAACUCAAUCAAAAUCAUCAUCCAAAUCGUCAUUAACGGAAGAAUCUCGUUUACCUAACUCAUCUUCUGCAUUUUGUGGAUCCUUCAAAGCUGCAAUAUCACUGUCCUUUAAGGCACCGGCUCUAACCAAUGCUUCAGCUACAUCAACUACACUAGUGUUCAUUCCUCCUAAAGUAGCUAAGGUUAGAAUUUGUUGUUGUAAGUCUCCAUGACCGUAUAUCAAAAGAGUUGGCAUCAUCGCUUCAGGAUAAUUUUCGACUGCUUGUUUUCCGGGAAUUUUUACAAAUUUAAUUUGGGGAUACAUUGGUGCUAGUCUCUCUAAGAUAGCAGCUAAUAAUUUACAGGCCGGUAGUCUUGAAUUGUAGUGUGUUAGUAUUGACCCAUUGAAAAUGCAAACAAAUGAAGAACAAACGUACGAGUCUUGGAACAUAUGCACAACGACAAACACUUCCUUGCUUGCAUCUGUGACUUCAGCUGUAUAUUCUGGUUUCGAAAUAGGAUAUACUGAGCCAAAUUUUGCUUUUGACAUUUGAUCCUUCCACUCCUGCAUCCGCUUGUUUCUGUACAUUUGUAAAAACUCAUCAUCUUCUUCGUCCUCAAGCUCUGCUAACUCAUCUAGAUCCUUGUUUUCCAACCGAUUCUCGUGGGCAAGCUGCUUUGCAUCGACCAACGCAUCGUCUAAAACAUCAUCCACAUCAGGUUCUUUUUCGGGUAAAAUUCCCUUCGAACGUAAAAUAUCAUUCCUGAUUUGUUAACUUCUAUUGUUACAACUAUUCAUCCUCCAUACCAUUCGGUAUCUUCGUCAGGAUUCAUUUGGAUAUAUUCCUUUUAUUAAUCCCGUUGCAAAGUGAUGUGUGUAUUUACCUAUUAUAGGAACGAUUA